AUUACCGCGGCUGCUGGCUGAGCCAGGAUCAAACUCUAUUACCGCGGCUGCUGGCACGUAGUUAGCCGUGGCUUUCUGGUUAGGUACCGUCAAGGUACGAGCAGUUACUCUCGUACUUGUUCUUCCCUAACAACAGAGCUUUACGAUCCGAAAACCUUCAUCACUCACGCGGCGUUGCUCCGUCAGACUUUCGUCCAUUGCGGAAGAUUCCCUACUGCUGCCUCCCGUAGGAGUCUGGGCCGUGUCUCAGUCCCAGUGUGGCCGAUCACCCUCUCAGGUCGGCUACGCAUCGUCGCCUUGGUGAGCCAUUACCUCACCAACUAGCUAAUGCGCCGCGGGUCCAUCCCCAACCAAAAAAUCUUUCCACCACCAGACCAUGCGGCCAGUGAUCAUAUCCAGUAUUAGACGUCGUUUCCAACGCUUAUCCCAGAGUCAGGGGCAGGUUACUCACGUGUUACUCACCCGUUCGCCACUAAUCCACCCAGCAAGCUGGGCAUCAUCGUUCGACUUGCAUGUGUUAAGCACGCCGCCAGCGUUCGUCCUGAGCCAGGAUCAAACUCU
This 561-nucleotide ribosomal RNA is filed under the name uncultured endophytic bacterium. Its description in RNAcentral is "partial 16S ribosomal RNA". The record is from RNAcentral.